Numida meleagris (helmeted guineafowl) is the source of this 1597-nucleotide long non-coding RNA. The record is from Ensembl. Lineage: Eukaryota; Metazoa; Chordata; Aves; Galliformes; Numididae.
CAGUGAAUCCCACUUGAGGGCUCCAGCUGUACAGAACUGACUGGUUCCUGCAGUGUGUGACAGCAUGAGAGGAAAGACCUUAACACUUAGAGGCUUGCAAAGUUCGUAGUCACUGGUCUCAAUGGUGACCAGAAGAUUGUGAGGUGGAAGCAGGUUAGAUUGAUGGAAAAGCUGAUACCUCUUGUGGAAUGGUCAGAAAUGAACAUGAAAAUGAUGAAUAGCUAUCUCCCUCAGAUGUCCUUCCUUCACUGAAGACAGAAAAUGGAGAUCCAGAUUUCCCCAGAGUACUCUGCAGUACAUUUGCAUUGCUCAGAGUGGUAAGUAACCACUGGUCAGCAGGGAUGUGUGAUAGAGGAGCACUGCCAUACUGGUGACCUGGAAGUGUUAGGAGUUUCUGUGCCAGCUGACAGAGAUACUAAACAAGCUGAUUACACUGAUCUCAUGGACUGGCAAGGACCUGUGUAUGGGGAAUGGAGUUUUAAUCUGAAGUGUAUGGAGGUUUGGGCCUUGUUUGUAUCACCUGCCCCAAGGCAUAUGCCUAUGCCUUGGCAACUGAACUACCCUUGUGUCUUCGCUGUCUGCAUGGACUUGAGCUGAGAUUCAGACUCCAGGGACUGGCAUCUCAUGGUAUGAAAAGUGGAAAAUUGGUUGUUUUCUAGGUGCUUUGCCAAAAUGCCAUUUGCCCUCAAAUCUGCUAUUUGUUUAUGGAGAUGAGUAAUCUAUGCUUUCUCAAACAGUAUUAGGUGUUUAUCUUUCAGUAUCAAAGCCCUCCUGAAAGCACCCACCACACCCCAGAACGUCAUGAUGGCUUAGAUAUGCAGCUCAUAUAAUCUGAAACUGAUCUUAAUAAUAAUCUUACUAAACACAAGCUUUGAUAGCUGUUUCAGAUGCCUUAGAGUAUCAGCCAUGCAAGUGAGGCUGUUGAUAUUGCAAAGCGUUUCUGGAAGAACUAUACUCUUCUGGGCUGAUUGUGUCAAGCUGAGUGGGGCACUCUGCAUGCAACACGCAUACGCCGAGAUAUUGUAAGUCAGGAGCCGUAAGUCUCACCCACACAAAAUCUUGUAAUAGAACAAUUAAGUGAAUGUGCCAUGUUUUUAAAAUUGUUGUUGACAGAAAUAUUCUGAGGAAACCAGCUGUCUUUCAAGCUAAAGAGAUAUUAUGUCUUGAUACUGUUUGAGUAAGUAGCUUAAUAGAAUAGAAUGGGUUUAUUUUCCUUGUAUUUUUAAUUCUUCUGAACAUUUGUUUACAUAUUCUGUAAGAGUGGAACCUGGGAUUAUGGCUAGGGACCAGAAGCUUGCAGGUAGAAUGUUAAACAAUAGUUCCACUGAUUCAUCUGGGGGAAAAUCUUUGUCUAUACAAGUGAAAGAACCAAAUUAUUUUAAUCUAAGGAAAAAUAAUAUGAAGGCCUGAAUUCUGUAGCUUUGUGCAGUAUUUUUAGCUGUCUUUCUUCAGCUUUCAGGCAUCCCUGUGUACACAGCUGCAUUCCCUUUCCUCCUUGCACUUUUGGCCAAAUGCUUGGUGGUGUAGUUCGGUAUAAUUCCAUUGAUGUAACUUUGCCGAGUUACCCUGGCUGAAGGUUUCCCUCAGCCUGCCCAGU